ACGCUCGACACCUACGGAGGCAGCAGUGGGGAAUAUUGCGCAAUGGGGGAAACCCUGAUGCAGCGACGCCGCGUGAAGGAAGAAGUAUCUCGGUAUGUAAACUUCUAUCAGCAGGGAAGAAAAUGACGGUACCUGACUAAGAAGCCCCGGCUAACUACGUGUCAGCAGCCGCGGUAAUCUGAGCGGGCUGGCAAGGC
RNAcentral lists this ribosomal RNA (197 nucleotides) under uncultured bacterium. RNAcentral's name for it is "partial 16S ribosomal RNA". It matches the Rfam family "Bacterial small subunit ribosomal RNA", at positions 328 to 539 of the family's 1533-position model. The record is from RNAcentral.